AACUGCAGUUCAACUAGGUCACCAAAACUGUAAACAAAGUCGUAGGAUAAAAGGCGCACCGGACGUACCAAAGAAGGAAAAGGUUCCCGUAGUGUAUAAAUUCCUAACAGCGCAGCUUGUGGCCGCAAAAACAAUGAUCAAUUACCAAAAGAUAAAUUACUUAAGAAAAACUCGCUGAAUUCGUCUAAACGAACGCAGUAUUUCAACAGAUUUUCCCAUUUUUGUUGAAUUAAAAAUAGCUGGUGCUAUUAUUGAACAGAUGGAUGAAAAAUUAAUUGCCAAAGUUCGCGCAAGACCGUUAAUCUGGCACAACUCUGUUAUUAAGAGAACUUCGCGCGCGGGCCAUGCUGCCCUAUGGGAUCAAAUCGGGUGUACAAAGUAAGUUAAAGCGCUUCAAUAUUCAACGUUUCUCGGAAACAAAAACAUUUCAGCGGAGGACGCAAGAAGAAGAUGGAGGACAUUGCGAGACACUUUCACUAGACGAUACAAUGCCGGCACUGAUUCGGAGCAUCGUCAGUCGAUGAUGUUUUUGCUGGGCAAAAAGCCCGACCUAAUACCAAUGUAUGACCGUAGUCGUAGAAAAACAAAGAACGAACCAAGACCAAAGUUUAAACUGAUCCCAACAGUGCGAAACGAUGCUUCUUCCGUUUAGGCUGUUGCAGAUGGCGAACGGAGUGUCUCCGUUUCCUCCGGUGACGAUAAUGAUGAUGCGGGAAUCAACUUUAUUCCCGCUGAGCCAGCGCCGGCUGUGGCACAUGCGAAACUUAAGAUUACACAGGGUGGUGAUCAGCCAGUCGAGAAGAGCCGGGAGUUCGAACCGUAAUUGGAUUGAAGUUAGAGUUAAGAGUUUCCGAUGUGGAUCAAAAUUCGUACUAAAAUAAAGCGGUUGAAACAUUGCUUUGAAAUAUGAUAAAAGACAGUUAUUAAA
This is a long non-coding RNA of Wyeomyia smithii (pitcher-plant mosquito), 928 nucleotides long. RefSeq lists it as uncharacterized. NCBI's taxonomy places the organism in Eukaryota, Metazoa, Arthropoda, Insecta, Diptera, Culicidae. The record is from RefSeq and is a predicted model, not a curated record. The transcript is spliced from 3 exons.